AAAAAAGAUAAUGUGGUGCUGGUGCUGGAAUCAUCUAACAAGAACAUUACAAAAUUGUGCUGCUGGUUUACUUUGGCUUUUGUAGCUUGGUAGAUCAGGCUGCAACUUGAAGUUUAGUUAGAUAGUUGGACAUGAAUUUGCUGGUGAGAACAUGCUCGAGCCAAGGGAAACCGACAUUCCGACUUUAUUUUUGGUCUUGGUUGUGCUUCCCCUGGUUUCUUAUAUUCUUCUAGGAAAAUGGAAUGAGGCAGCCAAAAAGAAAGAAAGAGUUGGUUUGCUGGCUCAACGGGCUGCUGAAGAAGCACAUAAGACACAAACUAUGUCUGCAGUAAGUAUUACCCCUAUCCCUCUUGUGCCUUUGCCAAGCAGUGCAACUCAUCAGUGUGCAAGAUGCCAUAGUCCAGCCACAACUCGCUGCUCUCAAUGCAAAUCUGUUCGAUAUUGCUCAGGGAAGUGUCAGAUUCUCCAUUGGAGACAGGUUCACAAGCUAGAGUGUCUUCAAUUGGGUAAUAACUGCAAUAGCUCAUCCUCUAAGCCUGCCUUGACUGAUGAACUCCCGGGACGCAUGUCAUUUGAUAGCUAUGUUGAAGCGCAGUACAGCGACAACAACCUGAAUCAGUUGUGGCUUGGCAAAACUUCUCCAGAUGGGGUGACUGAAACACCCAUUGUCACCCCAGUUGCCCCUAUUACUGUUAGUGUGGCAACGAAUACAUCAGGAUCUCCAAAAGUUGGGAGACGAUCUGUAGACAAGAGAGUACAUAAAGGCAACAGAGACAUAUUAAGAAGAGGGGACGGAACCAUGUCUGAGAGUUCUGAACGAGCCUCUCAAUCUAGGUCAAGAGAUGGUGAUUCCAUGCUUUCGGAACAUGAUAGCAUCGCGGAUGGGUUCAUUAGUGAACAUACUGAUUUGAUGAAUACAAUGGGAGAACGCCAUAUGUUACAAAAGCAGAAAGAACACAUCUCAAGAAAUCAUCGUCAUGUUUCAAGUUCAUCGAAUCUAGAAGGCCAUGAAACAAAUGCAUGCAAGAAUCAGAAGGAGCUGAUUGAUGAAAAAAGCCUUACACGAGAAGGCGUCGUUACCGGCACUCCGGCAAUUCCAUUAAACUGUUCUUCUGGAAAGACCUCUACAAGAAGAAGCAGUAGGGCUAAAAGUGCAUCACCUUCUCCAGGAACAAAGUCCCAUAGGACGCCAAAAACAUCAAGAGAAGAAAUGUGUUCAGGUUUGGAAGGGAAGGGACUGAAUAUUGAUGAGUCAAAAAAUGCUAGAAGAAAGGAUGCAGUCCCUCCACAAGCAGGCAGUGGUGUUGCAAACUUGGGAAUUAUGAGAAUGUUUGGUCUGGCUAAAUCAUCAAAAGUUGUCGGACAUCAAUCAUUAGAAUCCAGGGCUGACAAACAAAAGAAACUAAAGAUGCUGUUUCCUUAUGAAGAGUUUGUGAAGUUAUUUGAAUACGAAGACUUCACUUUGUUGCCUAGAGGUCUCAUAAAUUGCGGGAAUAGUUGUUAUGCCAAUGCUGUCUUGCAGUGUCUGAUGUGCACAAAGCCUUUAACAAUCUACCUACUUCACAGAUCACAUUCUAGAACUUACUGCAGGAAAGAUUGGUGCCUUGUGUGUGAACUUGAGCAACAUGCGAUGAUGUUAAGAGAAAGUGGAGGUCCUCUGUCACCAAACAAGAUUCUUUUGCAUAUGCGGAGCAUUAAUGGUCAGAUUGGAAAUGGCAGUCAGGAAGAUGCUCAUGAGUUU
RNAcentral lists this unclassified non-coding RNA (1741 nucleotides) under Hevea brasiliensis (rubber tree). Lineage: Eukaryota; Viridiplantae; Streptophyta; Magnoliopsida; Malpighiales; Euphorbiaceae. The record is from RNAcentral.